RNAcentral lists this unclassified non-coding RNA (344 nucleotides) under soil metagenome. RNAcentral describes it as "partial contains 5.8S ribosomal RNA, internal transcribed spacer 2, and large subunit ribosomal RNA". The stretch from base 1 to 120 matches the Rfam family "5.8S ribosomal RNA", at positions 35 to 154 of the family's 154-position model. The record is from RNAcentral.
GAUGAAGAACGUAGCGAAAUGCGAUAAGUAAUGUGAAUUGCAGAAUUCAGUGAAUCAUCGAAUCUUUGAACGCACAUUGCGCCCGCCAGUAUUCUGGCGGGCAUGCCUGUUCGAGCGUCAUUUCAACCCUCAAGCCCCCGGGCUUGGUGUUGGGGAUCGGCGUGCCCUCGCGGCGCGCCGUCCCCUAAAUCUAGUGGCGGUCUCGCUGUAGCUUCCUCUGCGUAGUAGCAACACUCGCACUGGAUCGCAGCGCGGCCACGCCGUUAAACCCCCCACUUCUGAAAGUUUGACCUCGGAUCAGGUAUGAAUACCCGCUGAACUUAAGCAUAUCAAUAAGCGGAGGA